Molecule: RNA transcript, 1024 nt
Organism: Prunus dulcis (almond)
Lineage: Eukaryota; Viridiplantae; Streptophyta; Magnoliopsida; Rosales; Rosaceae
Exons: 4
Source: RefSeq, a predicted model, not a curated record
GAUAGAAAAGAAGAAAACUAAGAAGAAGAGAAGAGAAGAAAAUUUUCUAAGGAAUUGGAUCAAAAGUGUAGAUUCGACAACUCCGAGAAUCUCCAAAGGGAUUCAAGGCGAAGUUUGAGGAAGCGGGUUUCAACCGAGCUAUUAGGAUUUUGUUGUUGAUUUGUGUAAUUAACUUUUGUAAGUAGUCAACGGUUUCAAAAUAUAUUAUUGUGUCAUUAACUACGAGCUACUGCGACUCUAAUUCUGUGUUGUUAAGUAAAUUUGUAUUUAUUUGUGGCUCUUUUUCUCAUCAUAUCAUGGUUGUAAGAUUUUGCUCUUAUGGCUAUGGUAUGACUUACACCCUGAUUCAGGAAUAUUCCUUAUUUUCGAAUCGGGUCAUGACAAAAACAGAGUCAUCACACCCCACAGCCAACCCCAAAUGCCUUCCCCUGUCGCAAAUCACCUUCGCCUUAGCCUGGCAAACAUCCAUCACCAAUCUGUCAAGUUUUCACAAAUCCUUCGAAGAGCCAAGUAAUAGUCCACCGAAUUUGUAUCCAUUUUUCAGUGAUCAUCUACCGAAUCCGUUACUGAGUGUCUAGUUAAUAUUGCUUUUUUAUAUAUAAAGAGGACUCGCAUAGAUACUAUUGAGGCUUCAUCAUCUCGACCUGAUAGACAGCGUCCCACAGCCUCAACGAGGAGACAGGGAGCGGGUCCCCAAGAUCACUUUGAGGAUACUAUAGAGGUUGAAGAUGUAGCUCCUACUCAUGAUAGUAAUGUUGAUGCAGAGGUUGAAGAUGUAGUUGCUACUCAUGAUAGUAAUGUUGAGGUACAUGUCGAGCCUACUGAGCCAUCUCGAGUAGGUCAUAUUGAUCCAUCUUUACUUACGAGUUUUAAAACUCACAUAGCAGUUGCAACUCAUGAUAGUAAUACUUACCUAUUUGAGAUCGUCAAUCCAAGAUGCAUACACGUGUUUGUCCAUGCGGCCAUAAACUCUCCUUAAAUGGAUUUAACCAAUUGUCAUGUAUGUAUUCAAUAGCUUUUUGAA